AGGUCCAGCCUGCCCAGUGACUAUAUGUUCAACGGCCGCGGUAUUCUGACCGUGCAAAGGUAGCGUAAUCACUUGUCUUUUAAAUAAAGACUGGUAUGAAUGGCACCACGAAGGUUCAACUGUCUCCUGCAUCCAAUCCAUUAAACUGACCUCCCCGUGCAGAGGCGGGGAUACAACCAUAAGACGAGAAGACCCUAUGGAGCUUUAAACUAAAGGCAACUGCCAACUUCAACCUAACCCGUAAGGAAGAAACAAUAAAACAAGCAGAAAUUGACCUAAAGUUUUCGGUUGGGGCGACCACGGAGAACAAAAAAUCCUCCUUGAAGAAUAGGGUCUACCACCCUUAACCAAGAAUCACCAUUCUAAGUAACAAAAUUUAUGACUACAAUUGAUCCAGUCUUACUGAUCAACGAACCAAGUUACCCUAGGGAUAACAGCGCAAUCCAUUUCAAAAGUUCCUAUCGACAAAUGGGUUUACGACCUCGAUGUUGGAUCAGGGCAUCCCAGUGGUGCAGCCGCUACUAAAGGUUCGUUUGUUCAACGAUUAAAGCCCUACGUGAUCUGAGU
Molecule: ribosomal RNA, 567 nt
Filed under: Xenopus sp. SL02_8
Lineage: Eukaryota; Metazoa; Chordata; Amphibia; Anura; Pipidae
Description: partial 16S ribosomal RNA
Rfam family: Bacterial large subunit ribosomal RNA
Source: RNAcentral